UAGGGAAUCUUCCGCAAUGGACGAAAGUCUGACGGAGCAACGCCGCGUGAGUGAAGAAGGCUUUCGGUUUGUAAAACUCUGUUGUUAGGGAAGAAAAAAUGUAUAGUAACUAUAUACAAAAGAGACGGUACCUAACCAGAAAGCCACGGCUAACUACGUGCCAGCAGCCGCGGUAAUACGUAGGUGGCAAGCGUUGUCCGGAAUUAUUGGGCGUAAAGCGCGCGCAGGUGGUUUAGAAAGUCUGAUGUGAAAGCCCACGGCUCAACCGUGGAGGGUCAUUGGAAACUAAUAAGCUUGAGUGCAGGAGAGAAAAGUGGAAUUCCUAGUGUAGCGGUGAAAUGCGUAGAGAUUAGGAGGAACACCGGUGGCGAAGGCGGCUUUUUGGCCUGCAACUGACGCUGAGGCGCGAAAGCGUGGGGAGCAAACAGG
Molecule: ribosomal RNA, 429 nt
Filed under: Verrucomicrobiota bacterium
Lineage: Bacteria; Pseudomonadati; Verrucomicrobiota
Description: Verrucomicrobia bacterium partial 16S ribosomal RNA
Rfam family: Bacterial small subunit ribosomal RNA
Source: RNAcentral